AUUGAACGCUGGCGGCAGGCUUAACACAUGCAAGUCGAGCGGAGAGAGGUAGCUUGCUACUGAUCUUAGCGGCGGACGGGUGAGUAAUGCUUAGGAAUCUGCCUAUUAGUGGGGGACAACAUUUCGAAAGGAAUGCUAAUACCGCAUACGUCCUACGGGAGAAAGCAGGGGAUCUUCGGACCUUGCGCUAAUAGAUGAGCCUAAGUCGGAUUAGCUAGGUGGUGGGGUAAAGGCCUACCAAGGGGACGAUCUGUAGCGGGUCUGAGAGGAUGGCUCGGCACAGUGGGACUGAGACACGGACCAGACUCCUACGGGGAGAAGAAGGGGGGAAUAUUGGACAAUGGGCGCAAGUCUGAUCCAGCCAAUGCGCGUGUGUGAAGAAGGCCUUAUGGUUGUAAAGCACGUUAAGCGAGGAGGAGGCUACUUUAGAUAAUACCUAGAGAUAGUGGACGUUACUCGCAGAAUAAGCACCGGGUAACUCUGUGCCAGCCGCCGCCGUAA
RNAcentral lists this ribosomal RNA (501 nucleotides) under uncultured bacterium. RNAcentral's name for it is "partial 16S ribosomal RNA". It matches the Rfam family "Bacterial small subunit ribosomal RNA", at positions 30 to 523 of the family's 1533-position model. The record is from RNAcentral.